Molecule: transfer RNA, 65 nt
Filed under: Posthodiplostomum centrarchi
Lineage: Eukaryota; Metazoa; Platyhelminthes; Trematoda; Diplostomida; Diplostomidae
Description: tRNA-Lys
Source: RNAcentral
UUUGGGGUAGCUUAAUUUAUAAAGUUUAAGAUUCUUACUCUUAGGAUGUUGUUGAACUCUCAAAA